UGGGGAAUAUUGCACAAUGGGCGCAAGCCUGAUGCAGCCAUGCCGCGUGUAUGAAGAAGGCCUUCGGGUUGUAAAGUACUUUCAGUCGGGAGGAAGGUGGUAAGGUUAAUAACCUUGGCAAUUGACGUUACCGACAGAAGAAGCACCGGCUAACUCCGUGCCAGCAGCCGCGGUAAUACGGAGGGUGCAAGCGUUAAUCGGAAUUACUGGGCGUAAAGCGCACGCAGGCGGUUGAUUGAGUCAGAUGUGAAAUCCCCGGGCUUAACCCGGGAAUUGCAUCUGAUACUGGUCAGCUAGAGUCUUGUAGAGGGGGGUAGAAUUCAAUGUGUAGCGGUGAAAUGCGUAGAGAUGUGGAGGAAUACCGGUGGCGAAUGCGGCCCCCUGGACAAAGACUGACGCACAGGUGCGAAAGCGUGGGGAUCAAACAGG
RNAcentral lists this ribosomal RNA (429 nucleotides) under Chloroflexota bacterium. Its description in RNAcentral is "Chloroflexi bacterium partial 16S ribosomal RNA". It matches the Rfam family "Bacterial small subunit ribosomal RNA", at positions 355 to 776 of the family's 1533-position model. Lineage: Bacteria; Bacillati; Chloroflexota. The record is from RNAcentral.